AGCGAACGCUGGCGGCAGGCUUAACACAUGCAAGUCGAGCGGGCCUUUCGGGGUCAGCGGCGGACGGGUGAGUAACGCGUGGGAACGUGCCCUCUGGUUCGGAGUAACUCAGGGAAACUUGAGCUAAUACCGGAUACGCCCUUUUGGGGAAAGGCUUGCUGCCGGAGGAUCGGCCCGCGUCUGAUUAGCUAGUUGGUGAGGUAACGGCUCACCAAGGCGACGAUCAGUAGCUGGUCUGAGAGGAUGAUCAGCCACACUGGGACUGAGACACGGCCCAGACUCCUACGGGAGGCAGCAGUGGGGAAUAUUGGACAAUGGGCGCAAGCCUGAUCCAGCCAUGCCGCGUGAGUGAUGAAGGCCUUAGGGUUGUAAAGCUCUUUUAUCCGGGACGAUAAUGACGGUACCGGAGGAAUAAGCCCCGGCUAACUUCGUG
Molecule: ribosomal RNA, 433 nt
Filed under: uncultured bacterium
Lineage: Bacteria
Description: partial 16S ribosomal RNA
Rfam family: Bacterial small subunit ribosomal RNA
Source: RNAcentral